Ictidomys tridecemlineatus (thirteen-lined ground squirrel) is the source of this 280-nucleotide non-coding RNA. Lineage: Eukaryota; Metazoa; Chordata; Mammalia; Rodentia; Sciuridae. The record is from RefSeq and is a predicted model, not a curated record.
AAGUGAACUGUGCUGUGUGUUAUCCAGAGUCAGAGCACCUGAAGAGCCAUGAGUCUCAAGACUCAUGGUUGUUUCAUUGAUGUCAACUUCAAGGGUGAUCGCUGAACAGUGAGCUUCUUCUGACUUGAGGUGUCUGCAUAGAGUCAAGAAGAUAUCCAUGUUGGAGACACUGUAUCAGGUAGCAUCUCUUGUCCACUCUACAGGAGAAUUUUUGCUUUUUGACACAGUAACCCUUGUGUUCUACUGGAUCUACUGAGUAAAGAGACGAAUUUGAACAUGA